Molecule: ribosomal RNA, 166 nt
Filed under: uncultured bacterium
Lineage: Bacteria
Description: partial 16S rRNA
Rfam family: Bacterial small subunit ribosomal RNA
Source: RNAcentral
UAGGGAAUCUUCGGCAAUGGGGGAAACCCGUGACCGAGCAACGCCGCGUGAGUGAAGAAGGUUUUCGGAUCGUAAAGCUCUGUUGUAAGAGAAGAACGUGUGUGAGAGUGGAAAGUUCACACAGUGACGGUAACUUACCAGAAAGGGACGGCUAACUACGUGCCAC